This 506-nucleotide ribosomal RNA is filed under the name uncultured bacterium. RNAcentral's name for it is "partial 16S ribosomal RNA". It matches the Rfam family "Bacterial small subunit ribosomal RNA", at positions 28 to 523 of the family's 1533-position model. The record is from RNAcentral.
GAUGAACGCUGGCGGUAGGCCUAACACAUGCAAGUCGAACGGCAGCACAGGAGAGCUUGCUCUCUGGGUGGCGAGUGGCGGACGGGUGAGGAAUACAUCGGAAUCUACCUUUUCGUGGGGGAUAACGUAGGGAAACUUACGCUAAUACCGCAUACGACCUACGGGUGAAAGUGGGGGACCGCAAGGCCUCACGCCAUUAAAUGAGCCGAUGUCCGAUUAGCUAGUUGGCGGGGUAAUGGCCCACCAAGGCGACGAUCGGUAGCUGGUCUGAGAGGAUGAUCAGCCACACUGGAACUGAGACACGGUCCAGACUCCUACGGGAGGCAGCAGUGGGGAAUAUUGGACAAUGGGCGCAAGCCUGAUCCAGCCAUACCGCGUGGGUGAAGAAGGCCUUCGGGUUGUAAAGCCCUUUUGUUGGGAAAGAAAUCCUGUCGAUUAAUACUCGGUGGGGAUGACGGUACCCAAAGAAUAAGCACCGGCUAACUUCGUGCCAGCAGCCGCCGUAA